AAUCUACCGUACCCUACGGAAUAGCUCCGGGAAACUGGAAUUAAUACCGUAUACGCCCUUCGGGGGAAAGAUUUAUCGGGGUAUGAUGAGCCCGCGUUGGAUUAGCUAGUUGGUGGGGUAAAGGCCUACCAAGGCGACGAUCCAUAGCUGGUCUGAGAGGAUGAUCAGCCACAUUGGGACUGAGACACGGCCCAAACUCCUACGGGAGGCAGCAGUGGGGAAUAUUGGACAAUGGGCGCAAGCCUGAUCCAGCCAUGCCGCGUGAGUGAUGAAGGUCUUAGGAUUGUAAAGCUCUUUCACCGAUGAAGAUAAUGACGGUAGUCGGAGAAGAAGCCCCGGCUAACUUCGUGCCAGCAGCCGCGGUAAUACGAAGGGGGCUAGCGUUGUUCGGAAUUACUGGGCGUAAAGCGCACGUAGGCGGAUAAUUAAGUCAGGGGUGAAAUCCCGCA
This 449-nucleotide ribosomal RNA is filed under the name Gillisella vitis. Its description in RNAcentral is "bacterial SSU rRNA". It matches the Rfam family "Bacterial small subunit ribosomal RNA", at positions 123 to 606 of the family's 1533-position model. The record is from RNAcentral. Lineage: Bacteria; Pseudomonadati; Pseudomonadota; Alphaproteobacteria; Hyphomicrobiales; Rhizobiaceae.